CCUACGGGAGGCAGCAGUAAGGAAUAUUAGGCAAUGGGGGCAAACCCAAUCCAGCCCUGCCGCGUGCAGGAUGAAGGUCCUCUGGAUCGUAAACUGCUUUUAUCAGGGGCUAAAGUGGGACUAUACGUCCUUUUGCAGGUACCUGAAGAAUAAGCAC
Molecule: ribosomal RNA, 157 nt
Filed under: uncultured Bacteroidota bacterium
Lineage: Bacteria; Pseudomonadati; Bacteroidota
Description: uncultured Bacteroidetes bacterium partial 16S ribosomal RNA
Rfam family: Bacterial small subunit ribosomal RNA
Source: RNAcentral